RNAcentral lists this ribosomal RNA (486 nucleotides) under uncultured bacterium. RNAcentral describes it as "partial 16S ribosomal RNA". It matches the Rfam family "Bacterial small subunit ribosomal RNA", at positions 30 to 507 of the family's 1533-position model. The record is from RNAcentral.
AUUGAACGCUGGCGGCAUGCCUUACACAUGCAGGUCGAACGGCAGCACGGGUGCUUGCCCCUGGUGGCGAGUGGCGAACGGGUGAGUAAUACAUCGGAACAUGUCCUGUAGUGGGGGAUAGCCCGGCGAAAGCCGGAUUAAUACCGCAUACGAUCUACGGAUGAAAGCGGGGGACCUUCGGGCCUCGCGCUAUAGGGUUGGCCGAUGGCUGAUUAGCUAGUUGGUGGGGUAAAGGCCUACCAAGGCGACGAUCAGUAGCUGGUCUGAGAGGACGACCAGCCACACUGGGACUGAGACACGGCCCAGACUCCUACGGGAGGCAGCAGUGGGGAAUUUUGGACAAUGGGCGAAAGCCUGAUCCAGCAAUGCCGCGUGUGUGAAGAAGGCCUUCGGGUUGUAAAGCACUUUUGUCCGGAAAGAAAUCCUUGGCCCUAAUACGGUCGGGGGAUGACGGUACCGGAAGAAUAAGCACCGGCUAACUACGUG